This 509-nucleotide ribosomal RNA is filed under the name uncultured bacterium. RNAcentral describes it as "bacterial SSU rRNA". It matches the Rfam family "Bacterial small subunit ribosomal RNA", at positions 20 to 507 of the family's 1533-position model. The record is from RNAcentral.
UGGCUCAGAGCGAACGUUAGCGGCGGGCCUAACACAUGCAAGUCGAACGCGAAAGGUCUUCGGACUGAGUAGAGUGGCGCACGGGUGAGUAACACGUAGGUAAUCUACCCUUUGGCGGGGGAUAACGUUCCGAAAGGAGCGCUAAUACCGCAUAAGACCACGGAGUCUCCGGACGCUGUGGGAAAAGGUGGCCUCUUCUUGAAAGCUACCACCGAAGGAUGAGCCUGCGUCCCAUCAGCUAGUUGGUAAGGUAAUGGCUUACCAAGGCGAAGACGGGUAGCUGGUUUGAGAGAAUGAUCAGCCACACUGGCACUGGAACACGGGCCAGACUCCUACGGGAGGCAGCAGUGAGGAAUAUUGGGCAAUGGGCGAAAGCCUGACCCAGCCACGCCGCGUGAGUGAUGAAGGCCCUCGGGUCGUAAAGCUCUGUGGAGAGGGACGAAAACCCUGGUUUCAAAUAGGCUCCAGGCUUGACGGUACCUCUUUAGCAAGCACCGGCUAACUCUGUG